This 3021-nucleotide long non-coding RNA is filed under the name Capsella rubella. RNAcentral describes it as "long non-coding RNA (CRUB_LNC002608)". Lineage: Eukaryota; Viridiplantae; Streptophyta; Magnoliopsida; Brassicales; Brassicaceae. The record is from RNAcentral.
UUGUGUCGUUUAUUUCUCUUAUCGUUCGUUCAUAAAUAUAGCCCAAAUCUGCACUUUCAAAUUAGUAUUUCCUUAACUUUUUUUUUGACAUCGUUACAAAUUAUAUGUUUCUCUUUGAAAGAAAUCAGGUUCGAACCCGUAUCUGGUGAGAAGGCAACAGAGGUGUGAACCACUAGCCCACUUGUCCUUCUCUAGGUAUUUCCUUAACUAAAUUUGAUAUUUUCUGUCACUAAAUUAUUAACUAAAGAUACUAGGAUUUACCCCGUGGUACACCACGGGUCCAUAAUUUAAUAUAUUUCAUUAAUUAGUCUUUUUUGUAAUUAGUUUAUAUAGUCUAGUUUUGUACGUGUUUAUUUCAUUUUAAUUUUAUAUAAUUUUAUGAAUUUGUAUUAUAAGUAUAUUCAUAGAUAUGUGUGGUUUGCACACCGCGAGACAAUUUUUCUAUAAAAAAAUUUAUAUUUUUUUUAACCCAUAAAAGAUUUUAAAUAUAGGCAAUCUGUAAGAAAAAUAUAAUCAUAUUUAUGUGAACUCAAACCCGUUCAAUCAUAUUUAUGUAAAAUAUUAGAAUAAAUUUUUAGAGUUAAAAUAUUAAAUAAGACUUUCAAUUUUUGUAGACUUUAAACAUUUUUAAUAGUCUAUAAAGCUUAAUUAAAUAUGAUAAUAUUUGAAGCUUUUGAAAUUUUUAAUUUUAAUAACAUUUUAAACUUAAAAAAAUUAUAAUAUUUCGAAAUUUUUUAAAAGUUUUUUUUCUUAAAUAAAGAACCAGAUGAAACUGAAUAUUUUUUUUAAAUUUGGAUGCCUGAAAAAUCAAACUUCACGCUCAUUUGUAGUUGGAAGCAUAUUAAUACUAUUUGUAAUGGUUUUAAACUAUUAUCUAAAAUUUUCUACUUCUACAUAUAUUUUUCCUUUAUCAAUUGAGUUAUAUACGUCCGUUUUCAAAAACUUUAAUUGCAAAUGUGCGGAAAAAAAUUGUAUUUUUUAUUAUAAAUAUGUUUUAUGUAAUAAUAUAAAUUUAAAACAAAUAAGAUUAUAUAAAUAUAUUGAAGAGAGAUUGAAUUUAUUAGAUAUAUUCUAAGAAAUUUUUUUGAUGUAAUAAAUAUUUGUUUCCAAUUUUGCUAUUUGCUUGUGAUUUAAUUUCAAAUUUUACUUUUAAGUUUUGUUAUUUAUUGAGAUGACAAGGGUCUGAUUAUGCAAAUAUUACCAAAUAAAAGGUUAUAACCCAAAAUAGAUUUUAGUACAAAAUGUACUUCAAAAAUGUUAAGAUAGAUUGUACCUAAAUUUAAAUUCAAAAGGAGAAAUGAAGUAGGGUAAGAGCUUGUUUUAUGCACAUGCAUUUGUAUAGAUUUAAGAAAAGUACAUCAAGACAAAAAUCCCCAAUACUAGGUGUUCAACUGUUCAUGUGUUCCCUACGCACUUGUGCAUUUAUGUGUAAACACUCUUAUUAGUCAUAUCAUCUCCAUAAAUUUGAUUCUAAUAAUAGUUUUGAUGAAAUAAGAGUCUUGCCUUGUCUCAUGAUAUCUUUGACCAUUUAGUCCACUCAAAACAUUUAUAUAUAGAAAGAGAAAUCUCAACGUAAACAUUCUGAAGUCAAGAUACUGAAAAUUUUGAACUGUUCUUAAUUAUUAUCUUAUUAUACGGUGCGUAUAAUGCGAUUACAAAGUUUUCAUGUACAUAAGUAAUUAGCUUUAUCAACCAUGGUAGAAAGCAACACGUAAUUCCAAUAAGAAUGAAAUGAUUAAGUACAAACUUGUUUUACAGCCACAACAAUGUAUUACUGUCAAGUCUUAAUCUAUCUUUUUAUAACAUGCAUGUGUAGAAAAAUGAAUAAGCAGAUAAGACUAUAAAAUACUUAAAGACCACAUAUAUAUCUAAGAAUUUUGUUUUUUAUUUCUCUCUUUGGAGUAUUAUCUUAAUAUUUCCAAUAGGUUAAAGUAACCUACACUAUUUUAACCAAAAUUUUGUUUAGAUUUUUAAAAAUAUUUUUAGUAGUUUUUUACCAGAAGCAAAUCUUUUGGAUAGAAUAAAAUUUAUUAAUAAAAUUAAAAUUAGAAUUAUAAAUAAUAAAUAAAAAACCGAGUAAAAUUCUAAUUUAUUGAAGAUCUUUUUGUAAAAUACUUAUUGACUGAAAGGAAAAGUUGUAUUAUAAACAAGUUUAAGCCGCAAGUAACUAUUUCUUGAAGUAGGUUAACUUAGGUAAAUGUACUUUUUUGUACUUGUUAUAUAUUUAUGGGAAACUUUCAUAAAUAACACUAAAAUGAGUAUUUUCCACAAACACCAUUAUAAGUUUUAUUUUCCAAAAAUACCACAAAAAUACAUUUUUGCAAAAAUACCAAAAAACUAAACUAAUUCUUUUAAUAUUCAAAAUUUAUUUUUAAAUCCUAAUCACUAAUCCGUACCCCCAAAAACUAUACCUUGAAUAUAAAUAUUCAACACAAACAUAAAAAAGAAAUUUACGCCUUCAAAAAUUAAUUUUUGACGUUUAUGUUAUUUUUGGAGAAAUAAAUCUUUUUGGUAACUAAAAAACAAAUUAUGGUAUUUUCGGAAAAAUAAAACUUAAAUGGUGGUAUUGGAGGAAAUUUCUCUAUAUUUAUUAUUUGUAAAAGUAACCUCAGAAACAUAUAUUCAAGUGGAAGCUCACUUAGUCUAGUGGUUGACAAAGAGGUUGUUUAAAGCUUCUACACCAAGAGGUCUGGGGUUCGACGCCCGGGUAAUGCGAUUUAUUUAAUUUGCAGAUUAAGGAGCUAAGCUUACAAGAGAUCUAUAACAAUGCACAAUUAGAGCCGUUCGCCGUGAUUCUACGCAUGGAGAAGAAAGUGUCGUCAGGAAAGGGUUGUAAUCUGUGGUGAAUCUAAAAGGGUCGGACAGAAUUGUCGGUAGUAGUAUCGUCGUUGUAACAAUUCUCAUAAUCUGCCAUAAAUAAUAAAUCAAGAGUUAAAAAAAAAAACAUAUAUUCAAAAUCGUUAUUCCCUACUAUAACUUAAUGGAAAAAAUGUCAAUUUAUUACAUUUUCCAAAAUAUUUU